CGUUGGCAACGAUCAAAAUUAAUUCGCCUCUUCCAUUGAAAGCAUUGAAAAACCAAGAAACCUAAAGAGAUAAUUGGAAAUAAACUCUAGAGGUUUUCCAUUCCAAUCGACGUAUUUCUGAAUAUUUUAUUUGUUAUAGUUUUUUAUCUCCCAAAAAAUACUCAAUUGAUUCUAACACAUAAAUCUACGGGUAAGGUGAAUCCAGAUUCACUCUCGGUUUCUCAUUCCUUGAAACCAGUCAGUGAUCUGAUUUGAUGAUUGCUUUCUCAACUGUUGUAGAAACCAGACCCAUACUUUUGUUGCUAAAAUUAAAAGGAGAAUACGGAGAGUGCUCUGCUGGGGUUUAAUACAAGGAAGAAGUGGAACUAGCUAGGGUUGGAUGAGAGUGGAAAAUCUGAAUCUCACUGGAACUCUGGAUGAAUGUAUUUUCGUUGGGUACAGGGAGAACAAAUCAAGAUAUCCAAAAACAAUAAAAAGGAUGAUAAAGUGGAAGAGGUACAAGAAGAGGAAGUGGUGGCUCCGUAGAAGGAGAUUCAUUGCAAGGUUAUGGCACUAGAGUGAGCAAAGAGACGGAGUCAGAUAAUCGAUACUUUGUAAUGAACAUCCUGAUAACAUUGAUAAUGCUGAAGUGAGAACAUACAAGCUCCAUAGCGGUAUGGCGUCCCAGGUCAACUGCAGGCUACAGAAAGUUGGUUCAUCAUCCGAACAAGACAGCUUCAAGGGGUCACGCGACCUCGAAGAGGGAAAACAUGCGCCGUUACUGUUCGAGUCAAUAGGAGGCUGGAAUAAUUGGUUCAACCAGCUUUUGUAGACUUAGGAGUGCAUAUAAAAUGUUGAGUACGCCUAGAUCUGGACUACCAAGUUGGGAGAAUAGAUAUGACGGAUGUGUACCAUGUUAAACAAUACAAGUUCUAACAACUAUUGGCCGCAUUGGUAUAAAUUUUAUUAUACUAAUAAGGUUCUUUGAGGGGCGAAAUACAUACUAAUACUAUAGUUCUUGGCGGGGCCAAAUACAUACUACUAAUUAAAGGUGAGGAUUCAGUGGUCUUAUAACGUUAUUCGCCCACUUUGUUUCUGUGGCUAAUUUUAGAUUCUACUUACUCAGCGUAUUAGGCAGUGUUUAUUAGAACAUUUGCCUAUGUUGUUGUCUCAAAUAACAGGAAUUCUAACCAACGUUUUUGAUUUCUACCUGGAAGAAUUGUUCAGAUCAUAUGAUAUGAAGAGCCUUGGGUUUUAUUUUUUAUUUAUUUAUUAUCAGUCCUGAAAUGUUAUGUUGUUGGUUGGUUCUGGUGAUGCUUGGUACUGAUGAUUGUGUGUGGGUGCGAUACGGUAAUUCCUGAGCAGUGGAGAUGUCAGGAAUUUAGGACUCAUGGUUGGAUGAAUUAAUAAUUCGUGCGAAACACAUGCAAAAUAAUCGAAGUUACUCGCGAGUUAAAUCGCAUUAUGAGCUUUCCACUCGGCAAAUACUUCACUGUAUUCCCUUGGGAAUCAACACUUGAGUGGAGAAUACAUUUGUGGAUCACCUCCCUUCGAAAAACCUUGCAUGAAUCAUCGGAUGGAAUGAAGCUCACGAAAUAUAAGGUGGCUGAAGUUUCCAUCAAAAUGGCAAUACUGAGUUGCCGUUUAGGUGGCACCGAAUUUCGAAGAAUGUGUUGGGGAUCAAUAAUAGUUUGGCUAUAUUCCAAAAAAUGAAGCAAUUGUAUGUUUGUAUUUCU
Papaver somniferum (opium poppy) is the source of this 1715-nucleotide long non-coding RNA. RefSeq lists it as uncharacterized. NCBI's taxonomy places the organism in Eukaryota, Viridiplantae, Streptophyta, Magnoliopsida, Ranunculales, Papaveraceae. The record is from RefSeq and is a predicted model, not a curated record. The transcript has 7 exons.